This 65-nucleotide transfer RNA is filed under the name Magicicada tredecim (thirteen-year cicada). Its description in RNAcentral is "tRNA-Ala". The record is from RNAcentral. Lineage: Eukaryota; Metazoa; Arthropoda; Insecta; Hemiptera; Cicadidae.
AGGAAUGUAUUUAAAUAUAAUUAUUGAAUUGCAAUCAGUAGGUGCUUAAAUGUUAGCCAUUCUUG